RNAcentral lists this long non-coding RNA (41033 nucleotides) under Coffea arabica (coffee). RNAcentral's name for it is "long non-coding RNA (CARA_LNC007747)". Lineage: Eukaryota; Viridiplantae; Streptophyta; Magnoliopsida; Gentianales; Rubiaceae. The record is from RNAcentral.
UUUUUUUUUUUUUUGUAGAAUGAGAGGUGAUUCUUUUUUUGCUGCUGGUAAUUAUGUUCCCUAUUUGGCUUUUGCUGAUGACAUUUUGAUUUUCACAAGACGUUCGAAGGAUUGCAUUGAGGUGUUGAGGGAUUUCCUUAAUUUAAAUCAAGCUUACUCUAGGCAGAACGUUAAUGCUCAAAAAAGUUCUUUUUCGUGAUCCUCAUGUGCCAUGGAUGGGCAUCUAGCAUUGGUUUCGAAUAAGUUGUUUCACCAUCAGCAAUUUCUUUUUAUGUAUUUAGGUAUUGUUUGAUGGUAUUGUUGCUAAGAUGAGAAAUAGGCUGCAGCAUUGGAACUCUUGACUAUUAUUUCUGUGAAGGGCGAAAAGAUUAUAUUGUUGCAGCAUGUUCUUACAUCCAUGUCGGUGUACUUGUUAAAGGUACUUCAACCUCCAAUGGCAGUUUUUAUGUGAGGGUCUGAAAAUUUUCAUGUUUUAUUUAAAAUUUAGUGCAUGUUACAUUUUUCCUUUUGUUAUUAAUUGAUUUACAUGUUCAUUGCUCCUUUUAAUAAACAAAUGAAUCUGUACACCUUAGGAGAAAUUGUAUCACUUAUACCAUAAAACAUUAGUAUUAUUUAGAAUUUGUUCCGGUGGUAGAAGAAAAAACAGUGGAAACCACACGAAAAUCACCAUGCAUGACAAGUGGACUAACACUUGUCCUUGCAUGCAUGGGCACUGUCCACUUAAAAGAGAGUCACCAAAGCUUCAAACAUCAACCGCAAGAAACUUCAACUUCUAUUUUCCUCUAGGUAACCGAGAGAUAGUGAGGAAGAGAGAGCCGUCACAACCUUGCUUCUUUCUACUUCCUAAAAACUGAGUGUGAAGCCAUAGGAGGACCAGCAACUCUUUGUACUUUCUCUGCAAUUUUUGAGCUUCAAUUAAGCAACAAGGAACACUAACUCAGCUAGCUAGAGAGUCGAGUAGGAGCAAAAAAUCUUUUCCGGCAUAGGAGCCGUGAGUAGAAGAGGUAAAACACUGCUAAGUUUCCCUUAAUAGCCUACUACUUCAGUUCCUUACUGUCAUAGCUUGAGCUAACAUCAAAAUAAGAAGAAAUUCAUUGAGGAAAAGUUCAUUAAGGCUGGAAGAAUUUUGUUUAAGUUGCUGCAAUUGCCCAAUGUUGUUAAGCUGCAAACUUCUGAUUGUUUCUUCCAAAACCUGUUAGAUUAUGUUUCAUGCAUUAUAGUUUACAUAUCUUGACAUGCAUACAGUUUUUAACUUGAAACAAAGCCUGAUAAGAAUAGAUUAUAAAGAAACUCUUGCUGGAAUUCUUGAUAUGAUGAUGCAUGACUGCCGAUAGAGUGAAGCUAGAAAUUUUCAGUUUUCUUGCCAAGAGUUUUAGUUGAACUUGUUAAAACUUAUUUUAUGCACCACCUUUUGCCAUGUGAUGUUUACUGAAUUAAAGGCAAGAAAAGAUCAACUUUUGGAAGAAACAUCAAAGCUGGAAUUUUCUGGACAAAGUGUUGCAUGAAACCCAAGAGGAUAAAGCCUCAAUUUUUGGUUCUUUUCUUUAAAAUAUUUUUCUGAAUUUUGUCUAAAAUUACUCUAUAUACCUCCUAUCACUCUCUUCAUGACAUGCAUGAAGUGUUUUUCUUGAAUCCAAGUGAGAUAAAUGUUGGUUUUUGAAGGAACCUUGCUGAAAUUUCUGUUUAUGAUUGAUACUUGAGGGCUGUUGGAGUAGAGCUGAGAGUUUGCAGCUUUAACUCCAAAAUUUUGCCGGUUUUGGUCAAGAACUCACUUCAUGUACCAUUUACCUCUUUUAUCUAGACAUGCAUGUGGUAUUUGUUGAGUUAAAAGCUAGAAAAGACUGACUUUUGGAGGAAACAACAAAGCUAGAAAUUUUGUUUGAACCAUGGAGAUCGAGCUCCAUUUCUUCCAAUUUUGUUUUAGAAAUUUGUUGAGUUUUAUUAAGAAUUCAUUUCCUAUGUCAUUUACUUCAUUUAUCUUGACAUGCAUGAAGUAUAUAAUUGGAUUAAAGUAAGAAACUUGUGAUUUUUGGAAGAACUUGAGCUGAAUAGUUUUAUUGGCUAAAGAACUUGAAACUUAUGAUUUUUGUUACAUUUUGAUGGAGAAAAUUUAACAUGGAUGAGAAGGAUUAGACUUCAUUUCAUUAGUUUAUAGUGUAAGCCAAAAGGGAGGAAUUUUGUUGAAAAUAAAGCUAAACUUUCCAAGUUAAACUUUGCUGGAAAAUUUCCUAGUUAAACCAGGACCAUGAAGUUGAUUUUUCUCGCUUUAAUUUUCCAAUUUUAACAAGUUUUAUAUGGGAAUUUUGCUGUACAUACAUUUUGUUUCCUUUGUUUUGAGAUACAUAUUGAAGUAUACUUGAUUUGAUGUGAAAGUUAGCUUAAAUAUAAAACUUAAUCAAAACUAGCAAUAGUUGCAGAUUUUAAGAAAGUUGGGAUUAUUUCAUAAAUAUAUAAAGUUUAGUAAAAUACUAAAUGUUAAACUAUAAAUCAAAACCCAUAAUUUUGGGAAUUAGAUAAGUUAAGCUCGAUAGUAGAUUAACAAAGAAAGAAUACACCACCAAGUAUAUCAGAGUAAAAUUUAAGAUAAUUUAAUAAUCCUAAAUACUUAUGUUGAAUUUCAGGAAUCAAAUUUAGCCAAAAACCCCACCCCGAAGACAAUGCGUAAAGUUGGGAUUAUUUCAUAAAUAUAUAAAGUUUAGUAAAAUACUAAAUGUUAAACUAUAAAUCAAAACCCAUAAUUUUGGGAAUUAGAUAAGUUAAGCUCGAUAGUAGAUUAACAAAGAAAGAAUACACCACCAAGUAUAUCAGAGUAAAAUUUAAGAUAAUUUAAUAAUCCUAAAUACUUAUGUUGAAUUUCAGGAAUCAAAUUUAGCCAAAAACCCCACCCCGAAGACAAUGCGUGAAUUGAACCUCUCGGUGAGUAUUCCUAAUGUUAUCUAUGUUUGAUUGAUUUUGAUUGACACUUGGUGUGUAUUUGGCUGGUUAUGAUUGUUUGAAUUAAAUGAAUGGUUUGGAUGACUUUUGAAUUAAUGGAAUGUGCAAAAGUAUUGUUUUGGGAAGGGGCGUGCUUUAUCGCCCUUUCCCAAGUAAAAUUGAAAGUUAUUGUUCCAUAGUUAUACUACUUGUGCAUGUAUUGUAGGUCAGGUGUGUGAGAACCCAAAAAUUAUUUUAAAUUUUCUCCUAUUUUUGAAAAAUUAAUUUAUAUUUUCUUUUCAUUUUACUUUACUUGCUUAUUUGCUAGCCCUAAUUGAUAGUGUUUUUAAAGGUUAAGUUAAGAUUUUUCUCUUUUCCUUUUAUAUUCUAGUGCAUGUUAAGUUUCGUAGUACAUUAAGGUAGUUGACCGACUACUGAGAUAUACGUAUUAUAUUUGGUGGACAAGAACGGGUGUGGUAUUAGAGGAAAUAUAUGCUUAGAAGUGUUAAGAGUGUAUUAGAGGAAUAAACAAGUAAUUAGAGGAUAAGAGAGCAAAGGGAUAGGAAUGGAAUUGGAUCUUGACACUUGUCAACCAUCAAACCAAACCUUGACCAAGACUUUCCUUCCAUCUUUAUCUUCCAAUUGACCACAAUUUCUUUCAUUUUUCUUCUAUGAUGGCCGAUCCUUAAGGGAGAGAAAAGAGAGAAAAUUCCUUCAAGUUCCAUCUUGCUUUCUUGCUUGAUUUCUUGAGAAAUCCAAAGACCAACCUUAAUCCACUCUGAUAAGCCUUGAGUUAAGCUUGGAGGUGAGCUUUUGGUGGAGUGAUUUGAGGAAGAAAACUCUUGAGUUGCUUGUCAUAUUGGGAUUUUGAGGUAAAAUUCCUAGAUAACAUCUCUUUUUACUUGUUUCUUGAAAUUUAUGCAAGAUAUGUUAUGAUUGAAGUUUAAGGAAGCAUGUUUAUGGUAAAUUCAUGGUUUGCUAGGGUUUGGUUAAUUUUCAGCUUUAAUGUUCAAUUUUUAGCUUUGAGAAGAAUUUCCGACUUUGAUAAGAGAUGCUCUAGCUUUGAUAUGAAAUUUUAAGCUUUGAUAUGUGAAUUUUAGUCUUGGUGUGCAAUUUCCAGCUUUGAGAGGCAAAAUUUCUAGCCUUGAUGUAGUUACUUGAAACUUUGUAUAUAUGGAGCUGUGAUGGAUUUUCUUGUCAAGAAAAUAUGUUAUAAGCCUCAUGACAUGUUAGUUAUAAGAUAUAGUGCAUUUGCCAUGGAAUUUAAGUAAGAAAGUUGGAAGUUUUGUUAGAGAUUUUGCUGGAAAAUUUCUGUUAUGGCUGGCCAAGAGGGAGAGAAGGAAUUUCAGCUUUCUUUUUAGAAAUUUUGUGGUAAUUUUGAUAUACUCUUGUUCAAGACAUUUGUUAAAACCUUACUUUUCAUAUGUAUGUUGAUUUUGAGCCAAAAUCAAAGAUGUUUAAGAGAGGAAAGACUUAGUUUUUCAAACUGUUUGCUUGCUAGAAAUUUUCGCAGGAGGUUCUGCGCAGUUUUGGAAAAUUUACUAUAACUUCGUAUAGAAAAGUCGAAAUUGAGUUGUAUUUGUUGAGUUUGAAACUAGACUCAUACUUAUUUUAACCAUGUAAAAUUCAUGGUUUGGUUCACUUUCUAUAAAUACCAAAAAAAUUUCAAAGUUGGCUGAAAAUCCAAGACUGUCCUGUUUUUGCACUUAGUUGAGCAGUGAAUUGAGACUGAGAUUUGACUAAUUUAUGGACUGAAUUUUAUGAAAGUGUCUUCUAGCGAUUGCAGACUUUUGAGUCUAUUUUCUAACGGUAUAAAAUUUAUGAUUUUUGGACUUACGUUAUGACUUUUCAAAAAGCAUUACAAAAACUAGAAUUUUUCUUAUUAAAUGACAAACAAAACUUGGAAGGGUCUGGGAAACCUUUUCCGGUUUUAAACCUAACUUUCUCGAUUACUUGCACUCCAUUUCAUACUUGGAUCAUGGAUUUAUUAUGUAUAUGAGUUUUUUUUUUACUUGAACAAGAAAUCUCCUACCACGUUUUGACGUACAAAUGGAGCACUUCUGAAUCUUUCCUUGAGUGUUAUCUUAGUGGUUAAGUGAAGAGAAUUUCUCUCUUAAUUUGACAAGAAAUUGAGCAUGCUUGAGUGAAGGGUUAAGGGGAAAUUGUUUGGCCUUGGUUGAAUGAUUAUAGGUAAUCAUUGAUCAUUGAUUGUGCAUGUCUCAGGUAUUCAAGAGGAAUUCGAGGGAAACCCCGAGGAGAACUUGUGAAAGCUUUUUCUUGUCUUGCUUACUUGACUAUUGGUGAGUGUUCCUUGCACAUUGUGCUUCCAAUAACUAUGUGAAUUGUUGUGAAUGUUUGCUUGAAUGUUAAAUAUUUUUAAAUGGAUUUUUGAUAGGUGAGUGUGUACUUUAUUGCACUCGACCUAAGUGAACAUGAAAUUUUCAAUGAUCAAAUGAUUAAAUGUUACUUGUGCAUGAAUGUAAGCCUUUGGCUGAACUGGGCCCUUGCCCUUCGUUGCCAGUUGACUCGAGUCAGAAGCGGACUCGGUCGGGCAGCUGGUAACCCUGAGAUAGUGUUUAGUAUACUCAAGUAUGACCACAAAGUCUGGUGGAGAGCUGGCUAGUGAAUACAAUGCAAUGAUUGAAAUGAACACUGAAGAAGUUUCACUGUUAAAUGUUUUCAAAUGAUGGAGGAAUAAGGGAAAUGGUCAGCGACUGAAUGACUGAAUGAAUGGCUCCAUGUGAGUACGUAUCCUUCCAAUGAUUGAAUGUUUAUUUCUUGAAUGACUGUUUAUUACCGUGCAAAGUGUUCAAACUGUUAAAAGUAAUACUUCCAUGUUUUAUCUACCUAAUUGCUUACUUAGGAACCUCACUAGGCUUUAAGCUCAUUCCUUUGGUUUUUGUUUUCCUUAAAGGAGUGGAGGCCGGAGCAAUUAAAUGUGAACUAGAGUGUAUAACCCUCUUGUACUUAUACUUUUGGUAGAUAGAAUGUAUUUCGACAUUUGAUGUUGUAACAUACAUUUGGCUUUUUGGUUGUAAAUAAGUUUGAAUUUUGGUUGAAUUGUAGAACUUCAAUAUUAUUUUUGGAGGAUUGCACGGUUAAUCUUGAGAGUUGAUUGAAGCGAAUGAGUGAGUCUUGGUAAGAGUUGGAUAGGCGGUCCGCCAAACCCUUGGGUAGGCCCUAGGUGUGAUGCCCCGGAAGAAAAAGAAAAGACAUUUCUGCUGAACAGUGAGAAUCCGGCCGGAAAUCCGGCCAGUUCUUGGCCGGAUUCUUAGCCGGAUUGGCAGGGGUUUUGGAAAAAAAUUUGAUUUCGCCACUGUCACGAAUCCGGCGGGAAAUCCGGCCAAAUCUUGGCCGGAUUGUGACGUGGCACCUCAGCAGCCAGGUUUGACCGGCUGUUUUCCAACAUUCUUAUCUUGCUUUUGGCUGAUAUUUCCCUCAUUUCUUUCCUUGGCUUGGCCGAACCUUUUGAGAGGGAGAACAAGAGAGGAAAACUCCAUUUUUUUCCUUUGAUUUCCUUCACCAAAACUUGAGAUUUCACCAUUAGUUUUGCAACCUAUUCCAUACAAGUGCUCACUAAGGAGAUUUAAAGCUAUUGGUGGAGUUGUUUUGGAGGAGGAAGCACUAAGCUACCAAUUUUCUUGAGGUUUGAAGGUAUCUUGCUAAGAACUUCUUAUCUACUUCAAUUGAUUGUUAAUUGGUGGAUUAGAGAUGUUAUAUAUGCUAUUUUGUGGAUGAUUUCAUGAUUUUAAGUAGAGUUUGACAAAUUUCUGAUUUUAUUAGUGAAUUUUUUGAUUUUAUAUGAUAAUUGUUGGUUGGUCAUGGGAUGAUAGCUUGAUAUGGUGUCAAAUGGCGCCUUUGUGUGUUAGUUGUGGUUGUUUGCGGAAAAUUUCAUAUUUGUGUGGAAAAUUUUAGUUUUAGGGUUUCAAAUUUGGGGCUUUCUUAUGGUUGGUUAUUGAGCUCUUAAUUGGUUAAGAUUUAAGGGUAUUGUGGCCCUAAUUAGGUGUGUUUUAUAGCUUAUGAUUUGUAUGUGAAAAUGUGGUGGAAUUGAGAUGUGAUUGGUGCUGUAUUGUAGGAUGGAAAAUAAGGAAAUUACGGGAAAGUGCUGUCCAAUCUUUGAGAGCAUUUGAUUGCUUUGAGUUUGAGUUAAUUCUUGGUAGAAAUAAAAUGCUUGGACUUGAUCGAGGAAACUGUCUAUGAUGGACAAGGUUCAUGAGCUAUGGUUGGUGAGUGACCCCAAAACUAUUUCCAAAGUUACUUCCAAACUAUUUCUUGCAUUGCUUACUCGAUUGCAUAUCAUGAGUGCUUGCAUGUAUAUCAUGAAAUGAUUUGGCUCCAAUGAGUUCCUGGAAAGUCUUGUGCUUAAACUCAACGUUUCCACCACUGUUUAUUUGGAGCACUGAUGGCUCCCUAUUACUAUUUGAUUGUUAAUUGAUCCGUUUGAACGUUGGAGUUCUAAGGACGAGGAUUUCACUGGCUCAUAAGAGCAACAAACUUACAUUUGAUCAUUGAUUCAUGAACAUCAUCUAAAUGCAUUAUUGUGAAAUGUACUUGAUUAUUGAUUUUUACUGGAUACUCGCUGAGCUUGUAGCUCACCCCAAAACAUAUUUUUCCCCCCUCCACAGGGCACAAGGCAAAGGAAGCGCGUGUGAUAAGUUAUUAGAGUGUCUGAAGGGUUAUCUCAUGUAUAAUUUGAAUUCGAUUCACUUGAUGAGUAAUUGAUGUAAUAUUUGAGACUGAUAUUGUAAUUGUAAUUGAUUUGAGAACUGAGGACUUUUGUCUUAUUCGGGGAAUUGUACCACUACUUGAGAUUUGUAAUGUAUGUAAGUUUACGUUCUAAGCUUGGGAAAUGUUAUUUCGUCUCUUAUUAAGGUUGUACCCUAUGUUAUUGGAUGUGAGUGAUGUAAUUUAUUUGAGGACUGUAGUGAGUCCCGGCGAGAGUUGGGCAGGCGGUCCGCAGAACCCUUUGGUUCGCCUUAGGGGGAGGUGGGGCUGUCACACUAGGGGGAGGUGGGGUCGUCACAAGGUGCGUGCUUUAUCGCAUCGAUCGAAGUGGGCCCUAAAACCCAUCACAAGUCAACCUAUUUGAGCCAGCAACGGGCUUGGUCGAGUUGGUUGGCGGUCUUGGAUGCCGUAGCUUGGUUGACCCAUGAGAGAGUUGUGGGCUUCCAGGUGUGUGAAAUCGUGGUAUACUCGAGUAUUAUCUCGUAACCAGUAAUAACUGAAUUGCAUAUUGAAAUGAAUAUAGAUUGAAGGAGACUGUUUAUUAUUUUGAAGAAUAUAAUGGGUGAUUGGUGGAGUGUGCAAUGAUAUCGAAUUGGCUCCCAUAGUGAGCUCGUAUCCUUUUAUUGAAAUGUGCUAUUUUACUUCAAAGUCUUUUAUUAAAAUGUACUAUUGAAAUGUGCUCGUAUACUUUGGUUGGCAAACACUUGUUAAUUUUACUAUUGCUUGCUUGGAACCUCACUGGGCGUAAGCUCUACCAUUUAGUUUUUUUUUCCUUAUAGGAUAUGAGAGCGAAAGAAGUCAAGAUAGUGAUUUAGCUUGAAAGGUCCCUAUUUUGUAUUUGUUGUAGACAAACUUGUACUAUGAGAAUUAGUGGAAAAAUGCUUACUUUAAUCCUGUUGGUUUGUAUAUAAGUGUGAAUGUCAUGGCCCAAUUGAUGGAGUAAAUGUUACUUUGGGAGGGUAGUGAGUCCUAGUGAGAGCCAGAUAGGCAGUCCACUAAACCCUAAGGUAUGUCUUAGGGUGAGAAGGGGCCAUCACAUUUUAUACCAUUUGGGAGGAUAUGUAAUUCUUUUUUUGGUGAUCACAAUAUGGAAACUCAACACAUUCAUUGGGUAACUUAGGAGAAGCUUUGUUAUCUCAUGGAGGAAAGUCGUUUGGGAUUUCGAGGGUUUGAAGAUGUUGGAAAGGCUUUUGCAUGGGAAUUGUGGUGGCGGUUAAUAAUGAAUAAUUUUAUCUAGACUUUGUUUGUUCGUGAAAAAUAUAUAAAGGUCAGCAUUCAUCUUUGGUUACACUGGAGGGGCCUUCAGCUCUAUAGAGAUGGUCAAUUAUGAACAUCUUAUUCCAAACAUCUUUUUUCGCUAGUUCAGAUGUUGUAAUAUAUUCGGUUUCAGUUGUAGAAUAUAUCAUAGUUUCUUGUUUAUAAUUGCUCCAAGUUAUCACACUAUGAUUAGAGUAAAUAUAAAACUUGAUUGAGACAAGCAAUCAUCUUUGUCAGAUUGAAAGCUAGUAGUAUACCUUGAAAUUGCAAAUCAUGUUUUCCAUAAACCAACAAUAUAUCUCUAAUUCUUUUCAAGUACUUAAGAAUAUCUAUGACUAGAAAAACAUCUUAAAAAUACAUUAAAAAUUUUUAAAAAGAACAAAAAAUAUCCCAAAAAUUUCUAAAAACAUCCGAAAAAAUUUAAAAAAAACUCACUAAAAAAAUUCUAAAUGCUUUUAUUUACAUUGAAGUUUUCUAAAACACUAAAAAAGAUAGCCAAUCCAAACACACCUGUUGACAAAAACUAAUCUCCAUGAAUCUUAGCGUCAAAUUUGACUAAUUAUAUGUAAAUAGAGGGCUUUUAAGGACUCUUGUGGUCUUGUGUUCGAAUCUUACCCUAAACUUGAACCCCCGUGACUCCCCGAGGUUGCUGCGUGGAGCCGUGGCACACUCCUCUGGUUUAGUGUCCCGACUCGGGUCCUAAGGGUUCAAGUCGGGGCAUGUUCCGGGUUACCCAAAAAAAAAAACUAACUGUUGACAUCAAUAGCGAACUCACCAACAUGAGUACUUAUAUAUUCAGCCACAUUAAAAAAUUUUUUGGAAUUGAGGAAACCACCUAUAAAAAUGCUAAGUUAAGGUCCUUAAUCCUUUCGGUAUUCCUUUAACAGACUUCCUUUUGAAUUCAAAGUAUACCAAAAAAAAAAAUGUUUCUAUAGUUUCCUUUAUGGAAUCAAAUUGUUUCCAAGGCUUAUAAAGAAGAGCCCAACUAUUCUUCUUCAAAAAACAUUACUCUAUUUUAGACAACAAAAAUAAAAGGGUAAAAAAUAAAAAAGCCCCCUGUGGUAAACCUAAUACACAGAAAAGCCCCCCGUGGUUUCAAAAUAUACAACACGACUCCUCAUACUUUGAACUAAAUUGUAAAGGUGACGGAAUUCGUUAAACUAAACGGAAAUGGUCAAAAUGACCAAAAUACCCUGAUAUAAUUAAGCAAAAGACAGCUCAAAAAAAUCAUUUGUUUUAUUUUCUAAAUAGAGAGAAUUGAGGGUUAAGGGGUAGAAUUGGUAUAUUUGAUAAAAAAUAGGUAUAAAAAAUUUUUUUUAGGUUCCAAUAAGUCAUUUCCGUUAAGUUUAACGGAUUCCGUCACUUUUACAAUUUAGUUCAAAGCAUGAGAUGUCGUAUUGUAUAUUUUGAAACUAUAUGGGGCUUUUCUGUGUAUUAGGCUUACCACAGGGGGCUUUUUUAUUUUUAACCCAAAAUAAAAACCUUUAUUCGGCUUCUUGCUGCAAAUUCCAUUCUUUCGAUUCUUUCUUCAGUAUGGGUUCUAAGCAUUGGUUUGCAUCUUUCUCUACCCUAAUUCUCAUAGCUAUAUUGAUCUAUAAUGCUGGAAUUGUUAGUUGUCAAAUUAAGGACUCUCAGAAUUUUUGAUUUAUGUUGCAACCGGACCUGAGAGUAUUGUCUUUGAUCGGUAUGGUGGUGGCCCGUAUACGAGCAUUUCUGAUGGUGGCAUAAUAAAGUGGGAUGCAAUUCUGAAUCGUUAGGUCGAUUUUGCUGUAACAACUCCAUACACAAUUGGCUGUCAAGGUCCAUUUAAUCAUGUUUACACAGAGGCAAGAUGUGGGCGGCCACUAGGACUUAGUUUCAACCAGAAGACUGGUGAUCUUUAAAUUGCUUAUGCCUAUAUGGGUCUCCUGGCUAUUGCUCCUAAUGGUAGAUUAGCUAGACCACUGGCAAAGCAAGCAGGAGGAAUUCCAUUCAGGUUCACCAAUGAUGUGGUUGUAGAUCAGUACAGUGGUAUAGUAUAUUUUACUGACACUAGCACAAGAUUUCCAAGAAGUGCAUUUGCUUAUGUGAUAUCGAGUGGUGACAAUACAGGAAGGCUAUUGAAAUAUGACCCAUCGAUUCAUCAAGUAACGGUCCUUCUGGAUCAUCUUAUGUUUCCAAACGGAGUAGCACUGAGCCAAAAUGGGGAUUUCUUGCUUGUUACUGAAACCACAAGCAGUAGAGUGUUGAGGUAUUGGCUUGAGCCAUCCAGGGCUAGCAAGGUUGAUGUUUUCACACAACUUCCAGGAAGGCCAGACAACUUCAAAAGAAACCAACAAGGUGAAUUUUGGGUGGCAACUGACUCAAGAGAUGGGAUUUUUAAUCCACUUGGAAUGAUAAUUAAAUUGAGUCCGGAAAGUGACAUAUUGAAGAUAAAAGGAGCUGGAAAUGGGAUGACAUGGGGGUUUAGUAGUGAUGUAAAUGAACAUAAUGGAAAUUUGUGGAUAGGAUCAGUACAAGAGCCUCAUGUUGUUAGACUAACACUCUCUAACUAGUGUAAUAUCGCUUAGAAAAAUUAGCAUUAGCUAUUAAAAUUUUGUCUCUCUUUUAGUGGCAUUUCUAAUGUUUUGGACAAGAUCAGUAUCGAUAAUAUGAAUUUCCCUGUAGUUUGUUUCAAAAAAAAAAAGAUUAAUUGGCACAACAUUGCCAACAAUUGUUCUUUUCUUUUUUUUUCAGGAGGAUUGUAGGUCAAAACAAAUCUAAUCUUCAACGUUUGUGGAUUUAGGCAAAUUUAGGAUAAUUAAUGGAAAUGAACCAAUGACUAAUGGUGAACGACAAAUUACCAUUGGUCAUAGUCAACGACUUUGACUUUGCCCUUAUGGUCCCUAAUAUUUUGAUUCUAAAUUAUUAUAUUUCUCUAAUUUUUUAACAGUAAUAUUAAAAGUUUUAGCAUGAAUUGAGAUGCAAAUUAGAAUGAAAUAGUAUUAAAUGAGUAAUAAGAAUUCUAAUUAAAAUUUUUUUCUUAAUUUUAUUUUUAUUUCAUUUUAUUCAUACUGAUAAUAUAUCAUGUUUCUUUUCUUUUGCAUAGUUAGUCUCUUUUUUUUUUUGGGCUAACCCCGUUCACAAGAAGGGACGCCACCCCCAAAUGCUAUUAAGAACGGAAAAAGUAAUAACGGAGAGGGACUUAAAACCAACCUGAGCAUGAAAGCAAUACUCAUGGCUAUAGACUAAAUUUUCGACGAAUAGAGGAAGUUCCUAAUCUAUCCAACGUAACUGCACCCUGAACUAACCUUGGUAACUCUGAGCAUGAAUUAUAGAUAGCGAUUGAGGAUGAUUGUGCCCCAACCUUCGACAAAACAUCCGCAACCUGAUUAGCUUUCCUAUAGCAAUGAGCUACCGUCCCAAAACAACCUCUUUUCUCCUUUAGAGAUUCUAUAUCCGACCUAACAAACCAAUGACAAUCACAUCUACCUUGGAGGAUAUAAACUAGAACAAGCGAAUCAAUCUCCACCUGAAUAGGAGAGUAGCCUGUUGAAGACACUGCUCCAUCCCAAAAAGAAGAGCUUUCACCUCAGCUUGAAAACUUGUAAGCAAAUCCAAUGGAAUAGAGAAAGCAAAAAGUAAGCCACCCUGUGAAUCUCUCAAAACAGCCCCACCACCACUUGCACCCAAAUUUCCCAAGGAACAACCAUCCGUAUUUAACUCAUAAUGCCCCUGCAAAGGCUUCUCCCAAACCACUAAUCUAUAGGAAUAACGAGCUUUCCAACCAGCAGCAUUGGAGUAAAGAGUCUCCCAUGAAACACAACCCACUACCUCAUGCCAAAAUUUUCCAAACACCAUGUCUACCAAAUCCAGUAAGAUACUUGUGAUGGCCCCACCUCCCCCUAGGGCGUACCUUAGGGUUUAGUGAACUGUCUGCCCAACUCUCGCCAGGACUCAAUCACGCUUAACUCGAGAAAGAACUUACAACCAUAGAAAAGAAAUAAAACAACGAUUUCAAACUUAGCAUAUACAUUGAUACUCAAAUCCAACUACAAGUCUCAUACUUGCCCAAAUACAUUAAAAUGUUUACAAUCCAAGUACAAUCAACCCCUAGUCGGGUGCUGGCGCGAGAACAAUUGCAAAUUUCAAAAAAAACUAGACCACACUAGUUUGUACAAGUGUCACGCCUCGCUCGUACCCCUGUAAGGAAAACAAAUGGAGUGAAAUGAGCUAAAAGUCCAGUGAAGUUCCAAAUAGCAAGUUGACCAUUAUUUAAGUACAAGUAUCAACGUAGAAAAAAUAGCCAGCAUAACAAGUUCAUAAAAGUGAACAAUAACACUCCAAGUAGCAAAUCUCAAAAUGAACGAGUGUAAAGUGUUUUUGUUUUUCAAAAGAAACAAUAAUCCAAUAAGCAAUACUCAUUUCAAAGUAUAAGGAUACGGAUGGCUCUCAGGAGCCAAGUUCCCUUUGCUUCACCAGAGCUUGAUCAAAUAGUAGUUGACACUCUGUCAACUUUCAAGCAAAGUAACCAGUCCAGUAGAACACCACUUCGCUACAAUCUCCGUCCACCAUCCAAUCUCGCGAGAACAAUUGCAAAUUUCAAAAAAAACUAGACCACACUAGUUUGUACAAGUGUCACGCCUCGCUCGUACCCCUGUAAGGAAAACAAAUGGAGUGGAAUGAGCUAAAAGUCCAGUGAAGUUCCAAAUAGCAAGUUGACCAUUAUUUAAGUACAAGUAUCAACGUAGAAAAAAUAGCCAGCAUAACAAGUUCAUAAAAGUGAACAAUAACACUCCAAGUAGCAAAUCUCAAAAUGAACGAGUGUAAAGUGUUUUUGUUUUUCAAAAGAAACAAUAAUCCAAUAAGCAAUACUCAUUUCAAAGUAUAAGGAUACGGAUGGCUCUCAGGAGCCAAGUUCCCUUUGCUUCACCAGAGCUUGAUCAAAUAGUAGUUGACACUCUGUCAACUUUCAAGCAAAGUAACCAGUCCAGUAGAACACCACUUCGCUACAAUCUCCGUCCACCAUCCAAACCCUCGACUGGGCCCAAAAUUCUCAAUAAACACUGGUGGUAAUACUCGAGUAUACCGAUUAGUCGAGGAGAUAACACUCCACUCGACAACACUAGAUACCCAUGGUUCGUUAUCUAAUCGACCAAGCCCUAGCCGACUCGACUCAAUUAACUAGUCAGUGGGGUUUGGGUUCCCAAGAAUUCGAUGAGAUAACAUCUCCAAUCGGCCGAAUCAAGAUAAAAGUACGGAGACGGGAAUGAGAGGCACCUCCCACUCAGAUUGAGUGUGGUACAUGCUGCCGCUCCAGCACUUACAAAUCAAGCACAAGUAUAUCAAGUCAAUUGCACCAAUAAACACGUACAUAUCACAUUAGGGCAAGUGCGAUAAAGUACACCCUUACCCGACCAUACCAAUCAAAUAUCAUUCGAUCACAUUAGUCAAGUAAUGAAAACAAGUGCCAAAUUCAAUCAGGUAUUUGGAAGCACUCACCAAAGAUUUAGUGCUUCUUCGAUUCACGUUCAGCUAUUACUCCUUGUGUGGAGUUCAAAUGUAACAGCCCCACUUUUCCCUAAGGCGAACCAAAGGGGUUAGCGGACUGCCUGCCCAGCUCUCGCCAGGACUACGGAUCAGUUCACGUCGAUCUAAUACGUUCCGGAACAUACCCACGCGCGUAAACAAGUCAAAAUCACAAAAUAAAAAAAACGAAAAUCGAAGCCGAUGAUGAACAGUACCGGCCACGUCAGAAUCCAGAUACUAGGUCGAGAGUAGCCAAAAUUUUUCUUUUGCCGUUUGAAAUACGAGUUGAUCCGAAAUUCAACCAAAUAUCAACCAAACAUACAUACAUUGAAAUGUAACAUUUACAUGCCAAAGCGGCAUAUCAAAACCCAUUCAUUACGAAUAUACAUGUUCGGUUUGCCAAUCAAAAGAAAGUGAACCCAAUACACAUUAGGGUUUCAUUCAAAGAGCUAUCCAAAAGAUACAUUUACAUGAGCUCAACUUGACAACCAACAAGUAUAACCUUUCCAAAAGUGGUCAUUUUCCUGUAAGGAAAACAAAUGGAAUGGAAUGAGCUUAAGCCCAGUGAGUUACUACCACAUAAGCAACAAAGAUCACAUAAGCAUAAUCUUUCAUUUCAAGUACACAAUUAAGAAGUAAAACAAGUCGGUAAAAGGAUACGGACGGCUCUCAAGAGCCCAUUUCCACGCUUACAUUCUUGAUCCAAUCUCAUUGACUCCCCGUCAACGUUUAUGAGUACCAACCGUAGAACCCACUUCACUCCCAUCCCUUCCACCAAACAUACCCCAACCGGGCCCGCACUCCAAUCAGUAGCUUUUGGUAAUACUCGAGUUUACCGGAAUCAAGAGUCUCAUUACUACAAUAUUCCCCAGUACAAUCCCCGUGGCAUGUCAAUUUUCACGACCAAGCCCCCGCCGGCUCGAUUCAAUUGACUACCAACGGGGUUGAGCUCAGUAGUACAGUAAGGCCGUUGGAUACUCGUCCAAACGACACCAAAUCAGUUUUUCAUGAAGUGAAUUCAAUAUCUCAUAUAGCAAGUGCAGUAUAUCAGUGAAGCGGUAAACAGUCAUUAACGUAUCACAAGGGGUGAGGGCGGUCAAGUACACCCUCGCCUCAAUCAAUUCCAAUAGCCAAAUAAGCCUUCAAGGCAUCAAAAUCACAUAUAGCAAAGCCACAUUGUAACAUUCAAGUGAGUAGUAUACUCACAACUCAAAUAGGUGAUGUUUCAUGCACCGUCGUUAAAAGGACGUCGUGAACCCCCGUCACGUCCUAAAACACGUAAACAAAUACAAUGAGACUCGAUAACGAGUCAUAAAGCCAUGCCAAUCACAACCCCAAUAGGGUUUCAUAAACAUAGACAAGUAGCAUAGGUAACCAGAAAUUUCAGCAAUGUAACUAACUUGACCUUGACAAAACAGUUUUCGUCCUAAUUUUGCGGUAAUGGCACAAAUUGCGCUACGCUUAUCGGAUGAGGGUGCAAGACCCACCAUCUCAAAGCUAAAAGACAGGGUUACAACAAUGUAGAAGGCCACUCAGUCCAAAUCCUAGCACAACUAGGUCAAAUAUGCAAAAUACCAAACCAGAACCUUAAUUGCAGGUUUACAAAUUACACUAUGCUGUAAUUAGUCCAACUCAGUCUAUACAAGUCCAAAUUCAUUGAUUCCAAAGGCAUAUGGUAGCUAAGACAACAAGCUACAUUUCAUCAAAAGACCUCAACAACCAAAUCUAAAGCAAUUCCAGUCAAAAUAGCCAAUUACAGGCGCAGUUCGGCCAUCCUGAAGAACCCAGAACAGCAACAGUAAAAUCGACUUUUCUCACUCUACACAACUCCGAUGAACUUGAAAUUUUACAGGCACCUCAAACACAUCAAUACCUACAAUUUCCAUGUUUUAAGCUAAGGCCAAUUCGGCCUCUAACCAUGAGAUACAAAACCAGACAGAAUUGGGGAUAUAAAACCCUAAUUUUCUCAAAUUCCUUCAAAACCCAAAAUUGCUUGCAAUUACCAAUCAUGUACACCUACUAGAGUCAUUACCCUUCAUUACCAACCAUCAUAGAUAACCACAACAUCAUGAUCACAUUAAACCAGAAAAUACACCAUUAAAUUGAAAACUUCAUCAUUUCAUCCAAAAGCAAGAAAUAAAUCACAAAUGUCAUCACUUGAGCUUCCAAUAAGCACAACUCAAGCUUCAUUAAGUGUAGGAGGAAGUUCAAAUACCACUUACCUAGAACACAAGAGAGGGAGAGUUGUAGGACACCUUAGCUUCCUUGAACACUUCCACAAAAUCACUUACUAGCACCAAAUGGAGGGAUUUUAUGGAGUAGAAACAAAUUUAAGCAAUUGGUUUGGAUGAUUUGCACUAGAUGGAAGCUUGAAAAUUGGAGAAGUUUCCUUUCUUUUCCUAGAGAGAGAGCCGGCCAAGAAGUUGAAGACAAGAAUGAAUUUUGUGUGAUUUUUGAGAUAUUUAAGCAAUUGGUCAAAAGUCAAGAAAAUGAAUAGUUGUCCUACAAGUGCCACCAUUCACCAAGUGACACUUGUCACUACAUUUAAAGCAUUUCUAUCCUUUAAGUCUCUCUCACAUCAAUCACAUCUCAUCCUCUACUUAUCUCUUAACACCCGAUAAAUUUCACUCAGUAUCCGAAACUCAACCUACUUGGCCGAAUUUUUCCGAACUUUUCGCACUAGUGGGUCCCACGUCCAUUAUAUAUCCUUAAUUUUUCAAAAACUAUCUAAUACUAGAAAAAUCAUUUAAAAACUAUAAUUACUCAUAAAAUCCACCAAGAAAAUUUUCCUAAGCCAGAAAAUGCAGAAAACGUGCCAUUAAAGGAAAUAAACCCUAGGAAAAUUAUUAAGAGGAAUUUACGGGUUCUCACACUCUCUCCCCCUUAAAAGAAUUUCGUCCUCGAAAUUCCUUAUCAUUGACUACUCCGGGAUUAAAUUGAGCAUUAUACUUAGCUAACAGAUCUGUACCCCUUCACUGGCCAGGUUCAGCAAAUUAUUACCUUCCACGUCCUCUAAUGGGUCAAAGACUUGAUGUUGUUCUAAGGAGUACACCCGAGAGGACACUUUCGAUCCAUCCUUGUCCCCCUUCGACUGGUCAGGGUGGGUCGUGGUUGGUGGCAGAGUCCCUUUCCGCUCAAGCAGGCGAGCUGGACAGUUCGCAAUCUGAUGUUCGGCACUUCCACAGCGCAAGCAUUUUCCUCCUUUCUUCCAACAAUUGUCCUCCGAGUGGUUUAAUUUUCCGCAAUACCCGCAGGGUCCGCGUGCUACAGAAGCCGAGCCUCCUCUUGACGGGCUCUCUUGUGACACUCCCGGCAUCCUUACUCCUCCCGUUCCCCGCCCAAACUUGGGAGGGGUACUUUCAUCCCCCUGCCCCGAACUACUUCCAGAAAAUCCUCUCUUUUUCGCCUGGAAGUUUUUCACCUGGAGCCUAGCAUUCUCUACUCGUUGUGCCUUCUCCACUGCUUCGCUGAAGGCGUUAAUUUGGGCUGCCGCGAGGUCCUUCUGGAUUUCUACGUUCAGGCCCUGGACAAAUCGCCGUAUUCUUCGUUGCUCGGUCAUGAUGAGUUCGGGCGCAAAUUUGGAUAGGCGGGUGAAUUGGCUCUCAUAUUCCGCCACAGUUUAAGCUCCUUGGCGAAGUCGAAUGAACUCGUCUUCCUUCCUCUCCUGAACUAGAGGAGGGAAAAACUUCGCAUUAAACUCUCUGAUGAAGUUCACCCAAGUCCUAGGUGUCUGUUCUCGUUCCCACUUCUGCCGAAUUACGUUCCGCCAGGAACGGGCUGCCCCCUCAAGCUGGAACACGGCAAAAGUCACCUGCCGUUCGUCAGGGUAGUGUAGGGCUGCAAAUAUAUCCACCAUCUUUUCAAGCCAUCUUUCGGCAACGUCUGGGUCGGGUCCCCCAACAAACUUUGGCGGAGCGAACUUUUGAAAUCGUUCGAGAGCUCUGUCUUCGCUCUCGAUAUGGUUACCAGGGUUUCCAGGGUUUGGGUUUGGGUUUUGGCCUUGUUGUUGCACUACUUGUGCUAGUAAGUUUGUCAUUUGUUGCAUAGCAGCAGCUAUUUGCACAUUAGGGUUUACUUGCAGUUCCAGAUUGGGUCCAGUAGAGGUUUCCCCCGUACCCCUAACCGGUGUGGGUUGUCUAGUUCCGCGCCCACGUCCCCGACCACUCCGUGUACCUUCCAUGAGUUUUACUUGGUCUAGGCAAUAAUAAUACUAAACCAAAAUAAGCACGAUGCAUGUAAGUAACACUCAAAACUUUUAUGCAACACAUAUUUAUACAGUCCAAACAUGAGCACAAACGUAUAUAUACAAGCCAAGCAAGAUCAAGCCACACACAUAUAUACAGCCAGUUAAGUCAAGUAAAAACAUAGACGAUCCACCGAGGAAUGGCCUUUCUAGUUCACCAAAUCCUUUCUAACCUAGGCCCUCAUUCUUUCGUAUCCGGGCGCAAGAAUCCCAUCUAAGAUAAUUCACAACUCGAGCCGGCCGGUCCCAAGAGUAAACCAUCUUUAUUAAAGAUUUCUACCCGACAUACAUACCUAGCUUCCUCGAGUCCCAUGAUAAUGAUUCGCACACUUAUCACAUGCCCGGUUCAUAACUUAUGCUCAAACGAGCACUUAGACAUAUUCAUGAAAUUAGGACCACAACACCACUUGGCCCAGUCUCACUCCGCGCAGAGACCACGCGAAGUGGCUCUGAUACCUCUUGUAACAGCCCCACUUUCCCCUAAGGCGAACCAAAGGGGUUAGCGGACUGCCUGCCCAGCUCUCGCCAGGACUACGGAUCAGUUCACGUCGAUCUAAUACGUUCCGGAACAUACCCACGCGCGUAAACAAGUCAAAAUCACAAAAUAAAAAAAACGAAAAUCGAAGCCGAUGAUGAACAGUACCGGCCACGUCAGAAUCCAGAUACUAGGCCGAGAGUAGCCAAAAUUUUUCUUUUGCGUUUGAAAAUAAUCGAGUUGAUCGCCCGAAAUUCAACCAAAUAUCAACCAAACAUACAUAAUUGAAUGUAAGCAUUUACAUGCACGGCAUAUCAAAAACAUUCAUUAGCGGAUAUACAUGUUGAUUUGCCAAUCAAAAGAAAGUGAACCAAUACACAUUAGGGUUCCAUUCAAAGAGCCUAUCCAAAAGGAUACAUUUACAAUGAGCUCAAACUUGAGCAACCACAAGUAGUACCUUUUACAAAAGUGUCAUUUGCCUGUAAGGAAAACAAAUGGAACGGAAUGAGCUUAAGCCCAGUGAGUUACUACCACAUAAGCAACAAAGAUCACAUAAGCAUAAUCUUUCAUUUCAAGUACACAAUUAAGAAGUAAAACAAGUCGGUAAAAGGAUACGGACGGCUCUCAAGAGCCCAUUUCCACGCUUACAUUCUUGAUCCAAUCUCAUUGACUCUCCGUCAAGGUUUAUGAGUACCAACCGUAGAACCCACUUCACUCCCAUCCCUUCCACCAAACAUACCCCAACCGGGCCCGCACUCCAAUCAGUAGAUUUUGGUAAUACUCGAGUUUACCGGAAUCAAGAGUCUCAUUACUACAAGAUUCCCCAGUACAGUCCCCGUGGCAUGUCAAUUUUCACGACCAAGCCCCCGCCGGCUCGAUUUGUGAGAACCCGUAAAACCCUAAUUAUUUUCCUAGGGUUUAUUUCCCCUUAAUUGCAUGUUUUCUGCAUUUUCUGGCUUAGAAAUAUUUUCUUAGUGGAUUUUAUGAGCAGUUAUAGUUUUAAGAUGAUUUUUCUAGUAUUGGUGAAUUUUUAGAAAAUUAAGAAUCUAUAUUGGACGUGGGACCCACGAGUGCGAAAAGUUCGGGAAAAUUCGGCCAAUACGGUUAAGUUUCGGAUACUGUGGAAAAGUUAUCGGAUGUUACGAGAUAAGUAGAGAGUGAGAUUUGAUUGAUGUGAGAGAGAAAAGAAAGAUAAGAAUGCAUUUAUGGAGGUGCCAUGUGUCACCUCCUCAUUUGAUGAACUUUAAGAAGAACUAUUCACUUUCUUGACUUUUUUGACCAAAGGAUUAUAUAUCAAAAAAAAAUGCACAAAAAUCACCAUUUUUCUUCUCUUGUUGGCCGGCCACCUUGAGCAAGGAAGGAAGAAACUUUCUUCACCAUUCAAGCUUCUACUUGUUGCAAAUCAACCAAAAACAUUGGUUACAUCCAAUUCCAUUCCAUACAAUCUUACCUUCUAGUGCUAGUAAGUUGUUUAUUGAAGCUUGGUUGAAGGUUUAAGGUGUUCGACAACCUCUUCUCUCUUGUUUCUUGGUAAGUGAAGCUUGAACACCCUCUUACACCCUAUGAAGCUUAAAUUAUGCUUAGUAGUGCUUGAAGUGCUGAAAUUUCUGGUUUUAUCUUGGUUUGAAGUGAUUUGGUGAAGUUUUUCAUUUUAUUGAUGAUUUUUCUGGUUUAAUAUGAUCUUGAUGUUGGGUGCUUGUAUGAUGGAUUGUAAUGGUUGGAAAUGACUCUAGUGAGUGUGAAUUAUAGUUAAAUGCAAUCAAUUUUGGUUUUGGUGUGAAAAAUGGAAAGUUAGGGUUCAUAAAAUCCCAAUUCUGUCCGGUUUUGAUCAUAGGGUUAGAGGCCGAAUUUGACUUUUCUCAAAACAUGAAAGUUGUAGGUAUUGGUGAGUUUGAUGUGCCUACAAAAUUUCAGGUUAUUUAGAUUAGUGUGGAGUGAGAUAUGACGAAAUUACUGUAGCUGUUCUGCUUUGGACAGAAUGCGAAAACUGCGAUAGUAAUUGGCUAUUUUGACUGGAAUUGGUUUGGAUUUUGGAGUUGGUGUCUUCUGAUGAAAUGUAGCUGGAUGACUUAGCUAACUUAUGCCUUUGGGAUUUCGGCAUUUGGACUUGUAUGGACUGAGAUAUACCGAUUACAGUUUUCUGUGUUUUGCAAACCUGUUUUGGUAAUUCUGGUAUAGUAUUUGGCAUUUUCGACCUAGUUAAGCUAGGAACUGGAUUGAGUGACCUUCUACAUUGUUGUAGCCCUGUUUCAUAGCUUCGAAACGGUGGGUCUUACACCCCCAUCCGAUAACCGUAGAGAAUUUGACGCCAUUACCGCAUAAUGAGUGUAAAACAGUUUUCUAUUUGGGGCCAAGACUAAGGCCAUUUUCUAAUUUCUGGUUUGCUAUUAUGCUCAUUUAUGCAUAUGAAACCCUAUUGGGGUUGUGUUUAGCAUUGCUAUAUGACUCGUUAUCGAGUCUCAUUGCAUUUGUUGCGUGAUUUUAGGGCGUGACGGUGGUGCACAACGUUCUUUUGACUAAAGUGUUUGAAACCGCAUUGUGCUAGCUUGGUGAGUGUACUACUCACUUAUGUGCUAUUACAUGGCUUUGAUCUUUGUACUUGAGAUGUUGAAUGUUGAUUGAUCCAGGUGAGAGUGUACUUUAUCACUUUCACAUAUUGUUCCGCAUGUUAUUGGAAAGUUAUAUGAAAUGUUAUAUGAAAUGAAAUACAUGACUUCAAAUAUUAUCCAUGAGCUCAACCCCAUUGGUUAUUGAUUGAAUCGAGCCGGCGAGGGCUUGGUCGUGCCAAUUAAUGUGCCUUGGGGCAACAUCAUAGGGAAUCUUGUAGUAUGAGAGACUCUUGAUUCCGGUUUACUCGAGUAAUACCACAAUGCAAGUGUUUGAAUUUCGGGCCCGGUUGAGGAAUGUUAGGAGGAAGGGAAUGGAAGUUAAGAGGAGUCUACGGUUGGUUACCUUUCAGACAUUGACGGAGAGUCAAUGAGACCUGAUCAAGAAUUCAAACGCGGAAAAGGGCUCUUGAGAGCCACCCGUAUCCUUUUAUCCUCAUUAUUAAUGUGUGGCUUUAUUUAUUUUGGUAAAUUGGACUGUUAAGCGUGAUGUAUCCAUGAACUUGGUUGCUUGAGUUGUAUUCUCACUGGGCAAUUAGCUCACCCCGUUCCUUUUGUUUUCCUUACAGGAAUAUGACUCUUUUGGAAUGAAUUUUUGAUAAAUGGUUGCCGAAUGAACUAGAUGAAUGACUCUUUUGUAUUGUAUAUAAAAUGGGACCCUAAAUGUAUCAUUAGGGCCGUUUUCACUUUUGUUUUGGCAAACCAUAUGUGUAGCGACUUUUGUAUCACUUUAAAUGUCAUUUUUGGUUUGUAAAGGCUAAAUGAGAGUCUCAUUACUACAAGAUUCCCCAGUACAGUCCCCGUGGCAUGUCAAUUUUCACGACCAAGCCCCCGCCGGCUCGAUUCAAUUGACUACCAACGGGGUUGAGCUCAGUAGUACAGUAAGGCCGUUGGAUACUCGUCCAAACGACACCAAAUCAGUUUUACAUGAAGUGAAUUCAAUAUCUCAUAUAGCAAGUGCAGUAUAUCAGUGAAGCGGUAAACAGUCAUUAACGGUAUCACAAGGGGUGAGGGCGGUCAAGUACACCCUCACCUCAAUCAAUUCCAAUAGCCAAAUAAGCCUUCAAGGCAUCAAAAUCACAUAUAGCAAAGCCACAUUGUAACAUUCAAGUGAGUAGUAUCCUCACCAAUCAAGUAAGUGUUGUUUCAUGCACCGUCGUUAAAAGGACGUCGUGAACCCCCGCCACGUCCUAAAACAUACAAACAAAUACAAUGAGACUCGAUAACGAGUCAUAAAUCCAUGCCAAUCACAACCCCAAUAGGGUUUCAUAUGCAUAUAUAAGCAUUAUAGCAAACCAGAAAAUCAGGAAAUGUAACUAACUUGGCCCUAACAACAAAAACAGUUUUGUCCUCAUUAUGCGGUAAUGGCACAAAUUGCGCUACGCUUAUCGGAUGAGGGUGCAAGACCCACCAUCUCGAAGCUAAAAGACAGGGCUACGACAAUGUAGAAGGCCACUCAGUCCAAAUCCUAGCACAACUAGGUCAAAUAUGCAAAAUACCAAACCAGAACCUUAAUUGCAGGUUUACAAAUUGCACUAUACUGUAAUUAGUCCAACUCAGUCUAUACAGGUCCGAAUGCAGAAAUUCCAAAGGAAUAUGAUAGCUAGGACAUCAAGCUACAUUUCAUCAGAAGACCUGAACAACCAAAUCCAAAGCAAUUCCAGUCAAAACAGCCGAUUACAGGCGCAGUUCGGCCAUCCUGAUGAACCCAGAACAGCAAUAGUAAAUUCGACAUUUCUCACUCUACACUACUCCAAAUAACCUGAAAUUUUACAGGCACCUCAAACACAUCAAUACCUACAACUUUCAUGUUUUAACCCAAGGCCAAUUCGGCCUCUAACCAUGAGAUACAAAACCGGACAGAAUUGGGGAUAUAAAACCCUAACUUUCUCAAAUUCCUUCCAAAACCAAAAUUGCUUGCAAUUACCAAUCAUGUACACCUACUAGAGUCAUUACCCUUCAUUACCAACCAUCAUAGAUAACCACAACAUCAUGAUCACAUUAAACCAGAAAAUACACCAUUAAAUUGAAAACUUCAUCAUUUCAUCCAAAAGCAAGAAAUAAAUCACAGAUGUCAUCACUUUAGCUUCCACUAAGCACAACUCAAGCUUCAUUAAGUGUAGGAGGAAGUUCAAACACCACUUACCUAGAACACAAGAGAGGGAGAGUUGUAGGACACCUUAGCUUCCUUGAACACUUCCACAAAAUCACUUACUAGCACCAAAUGGAGGGAUUUUAUGGAGUAGAAACAAAUUUAAGCAAUUGGUUUGGAUGAUUUGCACUAGAUGGAAGCUUGAAAAUUGGAGAAGUUUUCUUUCUUUUCCUAGAGAGAGAGCCGGCCAAGAAGUUGAAGACAAGAAUGAAUUUUGUGUGAUUUUUGAGAUAUUUAAGCAAUUGGUCAAAAGUCAAGAAAAUGAAUAGUUGUCCUACAAGUGCCACCAUUCACCAAGUGACACUUGUCACUACAUUUAAAGCAUUUCUAUCCUUUAAGUCUCUCUCACAUCAAUCACAUCUCAUCCUCUACUUAUCUCUUAACACCCGAUAAAUUUCACUCAGUAUCCGAAACUCAACCUACUUGGCCGAAUUUUUCCGAACUUUUCGCACUAGUGGGUCCCACGUCCAUUAUAUAUCCUUAAUUUUUCAAAAACUAUCUAAUACUAGAAAAAUCAUUUAAAAACUAUAAUUACUCAUAAAAUCCACCAAGAAAAUUUUCCUAAGCCAGAAAAUGCAGAAAACGUGCCAUUAAAGGAAAUAAACCCUAGGAAAAUUAUUAAGAGGAAUUUACGGGUUCUCACACUCUCUCCCCCUUAAAAGAAUUUCGUCCUCGAAAUUCCUUAUCAUUGACUACUCCGGGAUUAAAUUGAGCAUUAUACUUAGCUAACAGAUCUGUACCCCUUCACUGGCCAGGUUCAGCAAAUUAUUACCUUCCACGUCCUCUAAUGGGUCAAAGACUUGAUGUUGUUCUAAGGAGUACACCCGAGAGGACACUUUCGAUCCAUCCUUGUCCCCCUUCGACUGGUCAGGGUGGGUCGUGGUUGGUGGCAGAGUCCCUUUCCGCUCAAGCAGGCGAGCUGGACAGUUCGCAAUCUGAUGUUCGGCACUUCCACAGCGCAAGCAUUUUCCUCCUUUCUUCCAACAAUUGUCCUCCGAGUGGUUUAAUUUUCCGCAAUACCCGCAGGGUCCGCGUGCUACAGAAGCCGAGCCUCCUCUUGACGGGCUCUCCUGUGACACUCCCGGCAUCCUUACUCCUCCCGUUCCCCGCCCAAACUUGGGAGGGGUACUUUCAUCCCCCUGCCCCGAACUACUUCCAGGAAAUCCUCUCUUUUUCGCCUGGAAGUUUUUCACCUGGAGCCUAGCAUUCUCUACUCGUUGUGCCUUCUCCACUGCUUCGCUGAAGGCGUUAAUUUGGGCUGCCGCGAGGUCCUUCUGGAUUUCUACGUUCAGGCCCUGGACAAAUCGCCGUAUUCUUCGUUGCUCGGUCAUGAUGAGUUCGGGCGCAAAUUUGGAUAGGCGGGUGAAUUGGCUCUCAUAUUCCGCCACAGUUUAAGCUCCUUGGCGGAGUCGAAUGAACUCGUCUUCCUUCCUCUCCUGAACUAGAGGAGGGAAAAACUUCGCAUUAAACUCUCUGAUGAAGUUCACCCAAGUCCUAGGUGUCUGUUCUCGUUCCCACUUCUGCCGAAUUACGUUCCGCCAGGAACGGGCUGCCCCCUCAAGCUGGAACACGGCAAAAGUCACCUGCCGUUCGUCAGGGUAGUGUAGGGCUGCAAAUAUAUCCACCAUCUUUUCAAGCCAUCUUUCGGCAACGUCUGGGUCGGGUCCCCCAACAAACUUUGGCGGAGCGAACUUUUGAAAUCGUUCGAGAGCUCUGUCUUCGCUCUCGAUAUGGUUACCAGGGUUUCCAGGGUUUGGGUUUGGGUUUUGGCCUUGUUGUUGCACUACUUGUGCUAGUAAGUUUGUCAUUUGUUGCAUAGCAGCAGCUAUUUGCACAUUAGGGUUUACUUGCAGUUCCAGAUUGGGUCCAGUAGAGGUUUCCCCCGUACCCCUAACCGGUGUGGGUUGUCUAGUUCCGCGCCCACGUCCCCGACCACUCCGUGUACCUUCCAUGAGUUUUACUUGGUCUAGGCAAUAAUAAUACUAAACCAAAAUAAGCACGAUGCAUGUAAGUAACACUCAAAACUUUUAUGCAACACAUAUUUAUACAGUCCAAACAUGAGCACAAACGUAUAUAUACAAGCCAAGCAAGAUCAAGCCACACACAUAUAUACAGCCAGUUAAGUCAAGUAAAAACAUAGACGAUCCACCGAGGAAUGGCCUUUCUAGUUCACCAAAUCCUUUCUAACCUAGGCCCUCAUUCUUUCGUAUCCGGGCGCAAGAAUCCCAUCUAAGAUAAUUCACAACUCGAGCCGGCCGGUCCCAAGAGUAAACCAUCUUUAUUAAAGAUUUCUACCCGACAUACAUACCUAGCUUCCUCGAGUCCCAUGAUAAUGAUUCGCACACUUAUCACAUGCCCGGUUCAUAACUUAUGCUCAAACGAGCACUUAGACAUAUUCAUGAAAUUAGGACCACAACACCACUUGGCCCAGUCUCACUCCGCGCAGAGACCACGCGAAGUGGCUCUGAUACCUCUUGUAACAGCCCCACUUUCCCCUAAGGCGAACCAAAGGGGUUAGCGGACUGCCUGCCCAGCUCUCGCCAGGACUACGGAUCAGUUCACGUCGAUCUAAUACGUUCCGGAACAUACCCACGCGCGUAAACAAGUCAAAAUCACAAAAUAAAAAAAACGAAAAUCGAAGCCGAUGAUGAACAGUACCGGCCACGUCAGAAUCCAGAUACUAGGCCGAGAGUAGCCAAAAUUUUUCUUUUGCCGUUUGAAAUACGAGUUGAUCCGAAAUUCAACCAAAUAUCAACCAAACAUACAUACAUUGAAAUGUAACAUUUACAUGCCAAAGCGGCAUAUCAAAACCCAUUCAUUACGAAUAUACAUGUUCGGUUUGCCAAUCAAAAGAAAGUGAACCCAAUACACAUUAGGGUUUCAUUCAAAGAGCUAUCCAAAAGAUACAUUUACAUGAGCUCAACUUGACAACCAACAAGUAUAACCUUUCCAAAAGUGGUCAUUUUCCUGUAAGGAAAACAAAUGGAAUGGAAUGAGCUUAAGCCCAGUGAGUUACUACCACAUAAGCAACAAAGAUCACAUAAGCAUAAUCUUUCAUUUCAAGUACACAAUUAAGAAGUAAAACAAGUCGGUAAAAGGAUACGGACGGCUCUCAAGAGCCCAUUUCCACGCUUACAUUCUUGAUCCAAUCUCAUUGACUCUCCGUCAACGUUUAUGAGUACCAACCGUAGAACCCACUUCACUCCCAUCCCUUCCACCAAACAUACCCCAACCGGGCCCGCACUCCAAUCAGUAGCUUUUGGUAAUACUCGAGUUUACCGGAAUCAAGAGUCUCAUUACUACAAGAUUCCCCAGUACAGUCCCCGUGGCAUGUCAAUUUUCACGACCAAGCCCCCGCCGGCUCGAUUCAAUUGACUACCAACGGGGUUGAGCUCAGUAGUACAGUAAGGCCGUUGGAUACUCGUCCAAACGACACCAAAUCAGUUUUACAUGAAGUGAAUUCAAUAUCUCAUAUAGCAAGUGCAGUAUAUCAGUGAAGCGGUAAACAGUCAUUAACGGUAUCACAAGGGGUGAGGGCGGUCAAGUACACCCUCACCUCAAUCAAUUCCAAUAGCCAAAUAAGCCUUCAAGGCAUCAAAAUCACAUAUAGCAAAGCCACAUUGUAACAUUCAAGUGAGUAGUAUCCUCACCAAUCAAGUAAGUGUUGUUUCAUGCACCGUCGUUAAAAGGACGUCGUGAACCCCCGCCACGUCCUAAAACAUACAAACAAAUACAAUGAGACUCGAUAACGAGUCAUAAAUCCAUGCCAAUCACAACCCCAAUAGGGUUUCAUAUGCAUAUAUAAGCAUUAUAGCAAACCAGAAAAUCAGGAAAUGUAACUAACUUGGCCCUAACAACAAAAACAGUUUUGUCCUCAUUAUGCGGUAAUGGCACAAAUUGCGCUACGCUUAUCGGAUGAGGGUGCAAGACCCACCAUCUCGAAGCUAAAAGACAGGGCUACGACAAUGUAGAAGGCCACUCAGUCCAAAUCCUAGCACAACUAGGUCAAAUAUGCAAAAUACCAAACCAGAACCAUAAUUGCAGGUUUACAAAUUGCACUAUACUGUAAUUAGUCCAACUCAGUCUAUACAGGUCCGAAUGCAGAAAUUCCAAAGGAAUAUGAUAGCUAGGACAUCAAGCUACAUUUCAUCAGAAGACCUGAACAACCAAAUCCAAAGCAAUUCCAGUCAAAACAGCCGAUUACAGGCGCAGUUCGGCCAUCCUGAUGAACCCAGAACAGCAAUAGUAAAUUCGACAUUUCUCACUCUACACUACUCCAAAUGACCUGAAAUUUUACAGGCACCUCAAACACAUCAAUACCUACAACUUUCAUGUUUUAAUCCAAGGCCAAUUCGGCCUCUAACCAUGAGAUACAAAACCGGACAGAAUUGGGGAUAUAAAACCCUAACUUUCUCAAAUUCCUUCCAAACCCAAAAUUGCUUGCAAUUACCAAUCAUGUACACCUACUAGAGUCAUUACCCUUCAUUACCAACCAUCAUAGAUAACCACAACAUCAUGAUCACAUUAAACCAGAAAAUACACCAUUAAAUUGAAAACUUCAUCAUUUCAUCCAAAAACAAGAAAUAAAUCACAGAUGUCAUCACUUUAGCUUCCACUAAGCACAACUCAAGCUUCAUUAAGUGUAGGAGGAAGUUCAAACACCACUUACCUAGAACACAAGAGAGGGAGAGUUGUAGGACACCUUAGCUUCCUUGAACACUUCCACAAAAUCACUUACUAGCACCAAAUGGAGGGAUUUGAUGGAGUAGAAAGCAAUUGGUUUGGAUGAUUUGCACUAGAUGGAAGCUUGAAAAUUGGAGAAGUUUUCUUUCUUUUCCCAGAGAGAGAGCCGGCCAAGAAGUUGAAGACAAGAAUGAAUUUUGUGUGAUUUUUGAGAUAUUUAAGCAAUUGGUCAAAAGUCAAGAAAAUGAAUAGUUGUCCUACAAGUGCCACCAUUCACCAAGUGACACUUGUCACUACAUUUAAAGCAUUUCUAUCCUUUAAGUCUCUCUCACAUCAAUCACAUCUCAUCCUCUACUUAUCUCUUAACGCCCGAUAAAUUUCACUCAGUAUCCGAAACUCAACCUACUUGGCCAAAUUUUUCCGAACUUUUCGCACUAGUGGGUCCCACGUCCAUUAUAUAUCCUUAAUUUUUCAAAAACUAUCUAAUACUAGAAAAAUCAUUUAAAAACUAUAAUUACUCAUAAAAUCCACCAAGAAAAUUUUCCUAAGCCAGAAAAUGCAGAAAACAUGCCAUUAAAGGAAAUAAACCCUAGGAAAAUUAUUAAGAGGAAUUUACGGGUUCUCACAUCAAAUCUGCGAUAAAAUAUCAUUUAAGAGUUGGAAAUCAACUAGGGCUCAAAACUUAAGAGUUUCGCUUAAAGAAAAUCAAGUAACUGAAACUCAUUUAGGUAGUAUUCAUGCUCGCUCUUAAACUUUGAAACUUUGAAGAGAUUAAACUUUGAAAUCACCAUUUGAGUCGUAGUGACAAGAAAAACGUACUUCUAUUAUUCGUUACUUUUAUUUUCCAAGGGUACAAGUUUCGGCCGAAUUCUAACUUAUAUACCUCUACAAAAGAGGACUCGAACAACCUAGACAAUUCGAGUUAAAUUCAUCCUCAAAUCCUUAUACAAGUCACGAGUAUAUCUACCUAGCCCUUAAGUGAAAAUUUGGGCAGCACGCCCUUUGGAUUUAUCUAUUUUUCAGCCAUUUAUGGCUUCAUUAUUUUUCUCAAUUCAACCCCAAAAUCUCACACAAAUAAUCUUACCACAAUAGCCUUUCAAUUAGGCUCAAUGUCAUUCAAUUACAAAAUAAUGCUAGCAAAUUGAUCGGAAAUAAUGUUUAAGACAAAGAACAAAAUAACAGGUUUGACGUCUCUUAGCAUAUCGGUCACAACCGAAGCUGCGCUUAUCGGAUUGAGGUACACUUUAUACCUUUUCGAAGCUAAAACAAAGGGCUACAACUUUCAUGAAGACAACUCAAUGCUAAUUUGAUAUGGAUCAAAGUGAAAAAUGAAGCCAAAAAUGUGAAAUCUCAAAACUGCCUGCUGAAAAGAACAUUUGGCAGUCAGGGGUAUUUUAGUCAUUUCACAUGUUACAGUGUUCUGAUUGAGCUGAUAUUUUACAGGAAGAUAUAAAACACCAUUUUCUACAACUUUCAUGUUUUGAGCUAAGCCUGAUUCGGCCUCUAACAUGGACGAAUGAAGCUGGUCAGAACAGAACAACUUGGUUUCCAAUUUCUGGAAUUUGCACCUUUACUCUAGAAAUUCAUAUCUAACAAGUGCUCUAUCAUCAAACCCACCAAUUACUAGCUCAACAACAUCAAUUAAGAGGUAGAGAACCAUAUUCAAGGCUGAAAAUAUAAACCCUAGCUAAACAUUCCAACCUAUCAUUCAACCCAUGAAAUUUUCCCCAUUAAACUAUCAAAACUACAACUUUAAGCUUCUAGUUUACAUAUAUAUGAAGUAGAGGGAAGUUUCUUACCAAAGUCACCUUAAUCCCUAUGCAAAGAAGCUGCCAAGACCUUCCUCUUCCCAAAUCACUCUACCAAAACCCUUAAGCUUCCUUAGAGAUCAACUUUUGUGGAGGAAUUUGCAAGAUUAUCGGUUGAAACUCAAGAUUAAGGCUUGAAAUUAAGGUGCAAGAUGAUGUUUUCUCUCCCUUUCUCUCUCUCAAGUUUCGGCCAGCAAUAUGCAGAAAUGAAGAAGAAACAAAGCUCUAGAAAAGAUAAGAAGGUUGGAAUUAAGUUGAGCCUUCGGGGGUUGACCCUCCGUCAUUACAUGCAAUCGAACUGAGUUGUAAUUGGAAAUUAGAUGCAACAACACUUAUGAAAAUCAGUUCCAUUCAUACUUAUUCAGCGAUAUUACAUGCAACAACACUUAUGAAAAUUAGGCCAACAAAUUAUCAUACUUAUUCUCCCCUGCAAUUAACUUUUGGUUAUGAACCCAAUGUUUCUCAUUUACGAAUAUUUGGUUGUGCAUUUUAUGUUCCAAUUACACCACCUCAACAUCAUAAAUUGGGCCCCCAAAAACGAUAGGCGAUAUAUGUUGGGUAUGAAUCACCUUUGAUAAUUAAGUAUAUUGAGUCAUUGACAAGUGAUUUGUUUACGACAAGAUUUGCAUAUUGUCAUUUGAUGAAUCACAUUUCUCGAUAUUAGGGGAGGUAAAGAUUAAUCAAAAAGGGAAAAGAAAAUCAAUUGAAAAAUAUCAUUGAAUUUUCUUGAUUCUUGUACAAAAGAAUGUGAACUAGAAGUUCAAAAGAUUAUACAUUUGCAAAAAAUUAUAAAUCAAUUAUCGGAUGCAUUUAAUGACUCCAGAAGAGUUACCAAAUCAUAUAUUCCUGCUGAAAAUGUUUUGAUUAAAAUUAAUGUCUCUGAAAGAUAAAUUACAAAUGCUGAUAAAUCUAAAAGUACGCCUAAAACGUGGGAGAACUCUUGGUUCCAAAGAUAAAAAUUCUCAAAAGAAAAGAGAAUUAGAUCAGUUAAUAAUUAGUGACAAAAUUUAACCUCCCGAAGAGGUCACUCUUAAAGAACCAACUCUUGAAGAGAAUGAAAUUAUAGAAAAUUCAAUAAAUUGUCACCACAAGGAAAAGUUGGAACUGAAGAAAAAUAAUUGUUGAUAGUAUUUUUGCAUAUAAUGUAACACUUGAUAUUAUGAUAGAAGACGAGAAUCAUGAGCCUAAAUCAAUUGAUGAAUGUCGGUAUAAAAAUGAUUGGUCAAAAUGGAAAGAUACGAUACGAUCUGAAUUAGAUUCAUUGGCUAAAAGAAAGUUUUUAGACCUGUGGUCCAAACAUCUGAAGGUGUAAAGUGUGAGAACCCGAAUUUUUACUUACUUUAAUUCUAUAUUACUGGCUUAGUUAAUUAUUUAUUCAACCAUUUUCUCCGAAUAAUUUAUUUCAACCAUUCUAAAUUCGUUUACAUGGAACAAUGUCUCACUUAUAUUUUUAAAACGUCCCCGUUAGCAAAUUUAAUUUUUCUGCGGCUCGUCUAGUAAGGAAUAACGAGUACACAUUUUUCCAGGCAAUAUUCGAUCCGAGAGUGCAAUAAUCUAGGAGAAUUAAGAAUGAUCAUUAGUAGACUAAGAAAAAUUAAUUGAAGAAUUAGAGGUGAGUGAGUUCAAAAUUUCGCUUUAUCGCGCGCGAGUCGAAAGUUCGUGCAUUUUGCGUCGGAACGACUAAGUGGAGAUUUGAGAAAUUAAUGUUAGACUCGUAAGUGUGAGUAAUUACAAUGUUAGAGGAAGUACCUUGGAGGAUUAGUACAUGAGUGUAUCAUACCCGAGAGAAAAUGAUUGUACGAAACCCUCGCGCGACAACUAUUCAAAGUUGACUUUUACCAAACUUAACCACUACUUUUCCAUCCAAGCUUCCAAGACAAGCCACAACACAGAACUCUUUUAUUUCUCUCUCUCCAUUUUCGGCCAAAGCAAGACAAGAAAAGGGAAGGAAGAAAGCUUCACAAAUCUUGCUCCAAUCUUGCUCCAAAUCUUCAUCCAACUUCACACCUCUUGGAAAUCAACUCUAGCUUGAAGAAAAACAACAUCUUGUGGAGUUUCUUGGGGAGUUUUUGGUGGAAAAAUCUGAUUUCAUCUAGGAUUUAAAGAGGUAACCUUCAUCUCCUUUAAUCUUUCCAAUUUCUUCAAGAUUUAAACUUAGUUUGCAUGGUUUUACAACCCUAAGCAAGAAACUAGGUUAGAGGACUUGAGGAAACCAUUUACUUUGCUUUAAUCUCUAGGCUAGCGGUCUUGAGGAGGCUUGUAGGUAGCUGCCUUGAGGAUUUUUUGCUUGGUUAAUGUUGUUUGUGUGAUGAAUGAGAGGAUUAUGGUUAGAAAAUGGAGAGAAAGUUGGAAAAUGGUGGAGGUUGAGCUGGCCGAAAAAUUCUGUCCAUGUUGUUCAGUUUUAUUUCAAAAUUUUGAUCCUUGGUUGACUGUGAAAUUGAUGGAUAUAUGUUGUAUAUUGUGUGUACAAAGUAUCUUUCAAAAAUCGUUUCAUUUGGUUGCAUAAAACUUGAACUUUGGCAAGAUUCAAAUCUGGAAAUCGUAUAGCAGGGGUACUCGGACAGUGCUUCUUUGUUUGAACGUAACUCUCUGUAAAAAAGUCAAAAUUGAGUGCCAUUUAUGGCAUUCAAAACUAGACAUUCAUAGCUUUCCAACGGUAUAAAGAUCUCCUGGUGGUUCAUUUUGAGUGAACCGUAGUGAGUCGACAAAGUUGGCUGUUCUGUUUUGACUGUUCAUACGAAUGAAACUGGAAGCUGCAUAUUGUGGCUCGAUUUUGUCGCACUUGUGGAAAGAUUUUCAAAAUGAUGUCUUCUGAUGAAUUGUAGAAUUUGGAACAUAUUUCCAACACCACUAACCAUUCUCAAUUUGAAUUUGUAUAGAGUUAGAUAUGGUUUGAUUUCGAAAACGCGAUAAAGCUGGAAACUGGAAACCUUUUCCCUUUCUUGUUGGCCGAAUGGUCAAAUCUGUUUUGGGAUAUUUUGCCUCAAAAAUUUUUGUGCCAAUUGCUUGUCAAUUUCUUAUUAAAUGUUUCUGGAACCUUGUUUUAAAAAAUGGAGUGAAUUGGGAUUGAUUUCAUUGGACAAAAACCUUUGGAAAGAAAGAAAGAGUGGGUUGGCAGAUUUGCUUUAAACAUUUCACAAACUUUGGUCAUUUUUUUAACUACCUUCCCGUUCGAGUUUUUAUCUAAAUUUUCAUAGAGAGGUAUUUCAUAUAUGGAAGUUUAAGUGUACCAAAUUUGGUGUAAUUUCAAGACCAUUUCGAUAUCCAAAUGAUGCCCCAAAGAUUGCUCUUCAAAUCUGGAAAUUCACUGUUGAAGUAGUAAAAAAAAAAUUAACCGACUUUAAGCUGUUAUAUCUUGUUGCUCAAAACUCCGAAUUUAGUUCCGCUUAUUUUGUUUGAAGAUUUAUUUGGAACUCUUAUUGUAUUACGAAUUUUAAAGGCUGAUUCACUUUUUAUGAAUUUUGCCGAAUUUCCAAACAUCGCCGAAAACCAAGACUGGUUCUAUCUUACCUUCUUCAAUCAGCAACUUUGAGCUGAAAAAUGAAUACUUUCCAUUUAGAAUCUUGGAAAUAUGUCUUCUAGGAACUUUUAGUACUUUGGAUUUAGUUUCUAACGGUAUAAAGUUUUCCAUUUUUGGACAUGCCAAACUCAAGAUUUGAUUUUCCAAAUAUUUUCACGCAAAGCUGAAAAUUCAUGAUUUCGUGGGAAAUGAGUUUUUGAGAACUUUUCAUUGUCUUUCGAUAUCAAUCAUCCGUUUUAAACUCAUUUUCAUGGAGGAUGCAAGUUUUUCUUGUGACUUUAAAUCCUCACUUUUGAAUCUCGAUUCUAGAGAUAUUAAAGCUCUUUUAACACAUUGUCUUAGUAUUAUGCAAGUGUACAUUCUUCCUUGUGUGGCAAGGGAUUUGUAAGUAUUUGUGAAUGAUAGAUAAUUGUUAUUUCUUCAGGCGCUCAAGAGGAUCUUGAACAAAAUCUCGGAGCCGAUCACUAAAGAUCUUAUUUUGCACUUACUCAUUAGUUUUGAAUUGGUGAGUGUCAAGUGCAUGAAUAAUUGCCAAUUAUGUAAAUUGCUUCUUAUUGAUUAAGUUAUUUACAAUUGUCGAGUCGAGUGUGUACUUUAUCGCACUCGUUCUCUUUUAAUUGAUUAUAUAAUUGAAUUGCUCAUAAUUGAAUGUAUAAUUGUGGUUGUAUCUGCCGGUUAGAGUGAAUCUCAUCGGCUUAUAAUUGUAUUUGUUGAUUGGAGUGAAUCUCAUAGACUCAUAAUAAAAAUCGGGGGACGCCCAAAUCUCAAUUGGCCGACCUUGCGACUCGAGCCAACAUGGGCUUGGUCGAGAAGCUCGAUUAACCAUGAGAUAAUCAAAAACUUUGUGACGACCCCACCUCCCCCUAGGGCGUACCCCAGGGUUUAGCGGACAGCCUGCCCAACUCUCGCCAAGACUCACUCACUCACUUCAAAUAAAAUAGGGUACAACCUCAAGAAUAAAGGAAAUAACAGUUACCAAGUUUGGAAAGUACAAAUAUGUUCAUUUAUGUCUCAACAUCCAUACAACCCCUAAUACAUCAAAACAUUGGAGUUCUAAAUACAUUCAAUCCUAAUCGAGCGAUUAGUGCGAGUACAAUUACAAAUUUUCAAAAAAACUAGACUACAUUAGCCUGUACCAGUCUCACGCCUCGCUCGUACUCCCUGUAAGGAAAACAAAUGGCGUGGAAUAAGCUAAAAAUUCAGUGAGGUUCCAAAUAGCAAAGUUGACUAUUAUUGAAAAGUUCACGUAUCAAAAUAGCAAAGUAGUGAGCAUAACAAGUCCAUAAAAGUGAGCAAUAACACUUCAAGUAGCAAAUCUCAAAAUGAGCGAGUGUAAAAUUCUUUUCUGUAAAAUUCUUUUCUAAAAGAAAUAAUAACACUACAAAUAACAACCAAGGUAUAAGAAUACAGAUGGCUCUCAAGAGCCAAUUUUUCGUUGCUUCACCAGAGCUUGAUCAAGUAUUAGUUGACACUCCAUCAACUUUCAAGUAAAGUAACCAAUCCAGUAGUGCUUCGGUUAACACCAAUCUGUCCACCAUUCAUUCCCCUUACCGGGCCCGAACACCAACUAAACACUGGUGGUAAUACUCGAGUAUACCGAUUAGUCGAGGAGAUAACACUCCACUCGACAACACUAGAUACCCAUGGUUCGUUAUCUAAUCGACCAAGCCCUUGCCAGCUCGACUCGAUUAACUAGCCAGUGGGGUUUGGGUUCCCAAGUAGUCACUAUAGUCGAUGACCAAUCGACUUAGUCAAGAGAAAAGUACGGAGACGGGAAUGAGAGGUACCUCCCACUCGUAUCGAGUGUGGUACAUACUGCCGCUCAGCACUUAAAAGUCAAGCACAAGUACAAAUACAAAUACAGAUCACUGCAAAUCAAGUCACUUGUACAAGCAUGAAUGAGAUAUCAAGUAUUUAGUUGAGUUAGGUCAAGUGCGAUAAAGUACACACUUGCCCGACCAAAUCAAGCAAAUUUUAUCCGAUCACAUUGGUAAAGCAAAUAUCAAGUUCAAUCAUGUAUUUGGAAGCACUCACCAAAGAUUUAGUGCUUGCCAAAAUUACGUUCAGGUGUAACUCCUUCGUUGGAGUCCAAAUCAGCGAUAAAACAUCGUUUAAGAGCUUUGAAAUUAACUAAGGUUCGAAACUUAAGCGUUUUGUUUAACGAAAAUCAAGUAACUGAAACUCAUUUAGGUAAUAUUCAUAUUACUUAUCAUACCCUAGAAAACUCAUGCUCGCUCUUUUAGUUAUGGUAAGGAAGUGAUUAAAACUUUAGAAUUCUCAUUUGAGUCAAAAAGAUGAAGAAAACGUAUUUCUAUUGGUCGCUACUUCCAUAUUUUCAAGGGUACGAGUUUUGGCCAAAUUCCAGCUUAUAUACCUCUACGAAAGAAGACUCGAAUGCCCUAGACAAUUCGAGUUCAAUUCAACCUCAAUUCUUCGCUCGAACCACAAGUACACACGUCUAGUCCUCGAGUGAGCGGCACGCCCUUUGUAUUUAGCUAUUUUCCAGCCAUUUAUGGCUUCAUUGUUUUCCUCAAAUCAGCCCCAAAGUCACACACAAGCAAUGUUAUCACAAUAGGCCUUCAACUAGGCUUAAUGUCAUUCAAUUACAAAACAAUACUAGUAAUAUGUUCGGAAACCAAGUUUAAGGACACACAAUAAAACAGUAGGUUUGACGUCUCUUGGCGUUUUGGUCACAACUGAAGCUACGCAUAUCGGUUUGGGGUACACUUUAUACCAUUUCGAAGCUAAGACAGAGAAAUACAAGUCUUAUGAAGACAUUGACAGCCAAUUCAUUCAUUUUCAAGGUCAAAAGGUGUAAUCUCAGAGAAAACAGAAAACUGUCCGCGAAACAGUGCAUAUGGCAGUCAGGGGUAAUUUUGUCAUUUCACAUGAUACAGUACUCCGAUUGAGCUGAACUUUUACAGGCAGCUAUAUAACUCCAUUCCCUACAACUUUCAUGUUUUGACCUAAGCCUGAUUAGGCCUCUAACAUGGACAAAUUAAACAGGUCAGAAAUAGGGCAGAUUCAUCCUUAAAGUUGGAAAUUUGAUGAUUCAAUACUUGAAAAUUACAUUUAUAUCUUGAAUCACAACCCCAAGUCCCUAUCCAAGCUCACCAACAUCAUAUACUAGAUAAAAAAAAAGAAUCACAACUAAAAAUAUCAAACCCUAACUAAAAAGUCCACCAUAUCAUGCAAAACUCACUAAUUAACCGUCAUAAGCCAAGAAUAUGAGUUUCUAUCCAAACUUAAACAAGAUCAAGGAAGAGGAAAAGGAAAGGCAGCCAUGAUACCUUCCAAAGGUCCUUUGUAAAUGAGAAAUACACCACUUUCUUCCCAAAUUUUCAGCACCCCUAGGCUUCCAAGCACCAAAAGGAGAGGCUAAUCGGUUUAGUUCGGUUACUUGCACUCAAACAAAGAUGGAUUCAAGGUGAAGGUUGCUAGUUUCUCUCUUGUGUUUUUCUGUCUUGAAGCUCGGCUGGAAUCUGCAGAAAUGAAGAGGAAAAGAAGUGAAUUUGGUGAUAAAAAUGAAGAAAAUUGGUUGGUCAAACAACCCUUAGAUGGUUACCACUUAUCACUCCAAGAUUAAGUCUUCAAUUUUUCUUCUUUUUCCCUUUCUUUUUGGUCAAUAAUUUCGGCCCUCUCUAGGAUAAUUAAGGGCUGAUAUUUCUGCAAUAAUAACAAGAAUAUUAAGGUAUUAAAGUGGUGUUCAAGUGGUGUACUCAAUCGGUAACAAACAGUACACGUCGGUUCAACCCGUUUUUCCUUAUUUCGCACGUACUAGAGUUUUAACUUAUGAUUCACUAACUUAUUAUUAUUACUUCUAAUCACACACUUUCUCUUAUCUAAAACUCACUCUUAAUCACCAAAAUUGAGUACACACUCCACACCGAUUAUUACUCUACCAAAAGAUGCAAAAACCCUAGUUUACCUUUAACAAUGAAAGUAAAGGAAAAACCCUUGGUCCUAUAAUUAAUUGUAACUAUUGAGGGAGUGAAUGAGUAGUUUGAGUAGUAAAACUAUCAUAAAGUAAUUGAGUCAAAAUAAAAGAAAAUUUUAAGAAAAUAUGAGCGAAUUUUCCAAUCGUCACAAACUUGAUCUAUUAAGAGAUCUCGUUUGGCAUACUCAUAGAGUAGUGCCUUUUAUAAAAGAAGUGCGGGCCCGGAGCAGGGGGUGUAACGGUGAGCGGGAAUGAAAAGUAAGUGGAGUUCUACGGACUUAAUACCUACUCGGUUUUGACGGAGUAUCAUCACAUGGAGAUAUUUGAUCGAGCCUUGGCGAAGCGAGUGGAAUCUAGCUCCUGAGAGCUUCUGUAUCCAUCAUGUGUGUUAAAGUUAUUUAUGAGUUACUUGAACUUCUUUGUUUUAUUUCUCGUACAAAUGCCAUUGCUACUUGAACUACGUGUUUGCAUGUUUUCUUUGCCUCACUGAACGUCAGCUCAUCCCAUUAGUUUUGUUUUCCUUAACAGGAGUUUGGAAUGGAAAGAAUUUUGGAGAAACCAGUCUAAUUACUUUUGAUUAGUAUUUUGGGAUGUAAUUGAUUAGCCGACUUCUAGUGGUUGUAUUUUGGGGAAAGUGAUGCACUUUUGAUAAUUAUGAUGUAAGACUUGAAAGUUUAUUUAAGGAAGCGACUUUUCUUUACUUCAACUAUUAUUCUUUGGUUGUUUAUCCUUAAAUUUGAAUUGGAUUCGUAUUGAGUCCUGGCGAGAGUUGAGCAGACGUUCCGCGGAUACCAUUGAGUUCGCCCUAGGGAGAAGUGGGGGCAUCACAUAAAGUCAGUAGGAUAUAAAUGGAUAUUUGCGGGCAAAAGAAAUUAGAAAAAUAAAAUUGUGAAAUAUAAAGCAAGCCUUGUAACUCAAGAAAUUUCACAAAGACUUGGAUUUGAUUAUGAUGAAACGUAUUCACUUGUAGUGGAUGCAAUCACAUUUAGAUAUCUUGUGAGUUUCGCAGUGCAUGAAAAACUUGAUAUGUGUCUAAUGGACGUAGUUACUAUUUAUUUAUAUGAAAAUCUUAAAAAUGAUAUUUAUAUGAGAAUCCGCAAAUGAUUCAACAUGCCUGAUGUAAAUCAAAUGCUAAAAAUAUUUAUUCUAUUAAAUUACAAAGGUUUUUGCAUGGAUUCAAACAAUCUGAAUAUAUGUGGUAUAACCACCUCAAUGAAUGCUUAAUUAAAGAAGAUUAUACCAAUAAUCCAAUAUGUCCAUGUAUUUUUAUCAAAAAAAAGGGUUAAAUUUUGUGAUGAUUGCUAUAUAUGUUGAUAAUCUUCAUCUAAUUAGAACUCUUGAAGAGAUCCAAAAUACUGUUGAAUGUUUGAAGAAAAAUUUGAGAUUAAAGAUUUUGGAAAGACAAAACUCUGCCUUGAUUUACAAAUUGAGUAUUUGGAAGGUGGAAUUUUUGCCCACCAAACUACUUCUAUCCAAAAGGUAUUAAAGCGAUUUUAUAUGGAUAAGACGCAUAUAUUAAGUACCCUAAUAGUCGUUAGUUCAUUGGAUCUUAAUAAGAAUUCUUUUAGACCGUGAGAGGAAGAUGAAUGAUAUUUAGUUCUAAAGCACUAUAUCUCAAUGUGAUUGAUGCACUAAUGUAUCUUGCUAAUUGUACAAAACCUGAUAUAUCAUUUGUAGUGAAUUUAUUAGCAAGAUUUUGCUCCUCUCCUACAACAUUGGAAUGAUAUUAAACAUUUUUUUUGCUAUCUCUACGGAAUGAUAUUUAUCAAAUCCACAUAAAAUAAAAUCUCAUACUGCUUAUCUAUUUACAUGUGGUGAUGCAGUUAUUUUUUGGCGAUCUACAAAGCAAUCAAUAGCAACCACUUCAUCGAAUCAUGUUGAAACAAUAGCAAUUUAUAAAGCCAGUCGAGAAUGUGUUUAGUUAAGACCAAUGACCCACUACAUCUGAAAGACUUAUGGGUUAUCCUCAGAGAAAAAAAAUCCUUCAACUAUAUUAUAUGAAAAUAAUGCAACUUGUAUAACUCAAUUGAAAGGAAGAUACAUUAAAGGAGUUAGGACGAAACAUAUUUCAUCAAAAUGCUUCUUUGCUCAUGAUUUGUAAAGAAAUGGUGAAAUUGAAGUGUAACAAAUCCAAUCAGAUAAUAAUUUGGUAAAUUUAUUUACCAAGGUAUUACCAACUACAACUUUUGAGAAAUUUGUAAAGAAUAUUGGAAUGCGUCAGGUAAAAAAUCUCAAAUAAUGUUUGCAUCAGAGGGAGAAAUUAAUACACAAGAAUAGUGUACAUUUUUAAUUUCAUUAAGAUUUUUGUCCCAUUGAAUUUUUCCCUAAUAAAGUUUUAACGAAGCAUAUUCUGUGUAAUUGACAUUCAAGUGAGAAUGUUAUGAAACAACUAAAGAUGUGGAUGUGUAUUCUUGAGAAGAUUGAUUCAUGAAUCCUCCACAAUAUCCAUUGGUACAUUGAAUGAAUUCUAUUAUUAUUCGUUAGUUCAUUAAUAGAGCCAUCCUAUUUCUGAACAAGUGUUUAAUAGGAUUCAUGUAUGUAUAAUCUUAUAUUACCCAUAUAUAGAGGUAUCAUAACCUCUCAUGUAACAACUUUUGAUCAAUUAAAAUAAUAAGAAAAUAAUUCUCAAUUCUCUCUCUACUUCUUACUCUUCAGUUUAGUAAUUUAUUUUAUUAAUUUCACAAUAUACUUUACUUUAUUUUUAUUUAUUUGUUUGUUUAUUGGGAUUUCAAAUUCCCUACAAGCUUGUUAACCCUCACUAUUAUCUCAAUAGAUACAGAACUACCCAUUCCAUGACGCCUAAUAUUUCUCUGUUAUACUAACACAUUAUACAGCCAAAGUAACAAAAUACAGUCAAAGAGGAACGGUUUCCUGGCUUUUAUGUUCCUAUGACCGCCGUUCUUGACUUCUUCUCCAAUCAAAAAUGACAGGUAAAACAGAUUUCUUGAUUGCAAACGACUGAACAAUGACAAAUACCAUUGAGAGCGACGGAGUGAUCAACCAUAGCUUUGAUCUUUUAAGAAUGCCAUUUCUUACAAAUUACGAACUGGUUGCACCAAUAAGAAUAUAUACGACAUAUUUCACUCACUAAAGAUCUAUAAUGCAUGUUUUUACAAGAUUUAGUGUGAUGCAAUUCAAUCUGCUCUCGGCAACAAAUAAACUCAAUUUAUCCUUGAGCUGUUCCUCCUUCCCCACCAUUUUUUUCUUCCCUUGUCCCCAGACCCCUC